GAAUAUUGGACAAUGGGCGAAAGCCUGAUCCAGCCAUGCCGCGUGGAUGAUGAAGGCCCUAGGGUUGUAAAGUCCUUUCGACGGGGAAGAUAAUGACGGUACCCGUAGAAGAAGCCCCGGCUAACUCUGUGCCAGCAGCCGCGGUAAUACAGAGGGGGCAAGCGUUAUUCGGAAUUAUUGGGCGUAAAGGGCGCGUAGGCGGCUUUUCAAGUGGCGGGUGAAAUCCCACGGCUUAACCGUGGAACUGCCUGCCAGACUGGAUGGCUUGAGGCCGGGAGAGGUGAGUGGAAUUCCCAGUGUAGCGGUGAAAUGCGUAGAUAUUGGGAGGAACACCAGUGGCGAAGGCGGCUCACUGGACCGGAACUGACGCUGAGGCGCGAAAGCGUGGGGAGCAAACAG
This 399-nucleotide ribosomal RNA is filed under the name uncultured bacterium. RNAcentral's name for it is "bacterial SSU rRNA". It matches the Rfam family "Bacterial small subunit ribosomal RNA", at positions 359 to 775 of the family's 1533-position model. The record is from RNAcentral.